This is a long non-coding RNA of Melitaea cinxia (Glanville fritillary), 559 nucleotides long. RefSeq lists it as uncharacterized. The record is from RefSeq and is a predicted model, not a curated record. The transcript has 2 exons. Lineage: Eukaryota; Metazoa; Arthropoda; Insecta; Lepidoptera; Nymphalidae.
UCCCUCCCUCCAGCCACUAUUAGGUCACUCAGACGGCCGUGCGUGCGAAGUGCAACCGCACAAUGACUAGUGCAACGCGUGCACCGCUCUCGCUUCGAGGACGAUCUCUAUUUCACUUGGCGUCCUUUGCCACAUUAUUGGUGGGGACCGAUCUUUCUAGCCGCGUGAUGCAAUCGGCUGCUGGGGUCCCAAGAAGGUGACUCGAUCAAGACGAAAGCUGCGUGAGAGUAUAACUGAUAUGGAGAUAUAGGGAGUAUAUUAGUUAUACCCAUAAGAAAUCAAAGAAAAUCUUUUCAGCCAUUCAAUGAUUACCUUUACCGUCGAAAACCUAAACUUAACAGUAUCAACUUGAAUUAGCACAAAGCGUAUUAGCGUAACACGUAUGCUAAUUACUUAUUUGAAUAAUUUCAAUAGUUAGAUUUUAGACAGAUCGUGAUUAUAAUCUGGUGACGGUGCAAGUGAAUUUUUCAUUCGUCAUCCUCAGUCAUCAAUAUUCUGUUUUAGCACUGCUUAGAUAUAUCCAUGUAUGGUGAUAUAAAUAUAUAUGGUGACAGCUAAA